CAACAGAACCAGACGCUCUCUCCCACCAAAUCCUGCCUUCUAAACUCAUUUUUGCCAUCAAUUUCACAAAAAACUUAUCCUAAACCCUUUGAUUUCUCACUUCCCAACAUAAACCCUAGUUCUUAAAAGUGAAAUUAAAUAACAACAGUGGGCGAAUUCGACCAAUUAGCUCAGGGCUAUGACUCAGGGAAUCAAGAAACACAUAAUGGUGAAUAAAAAUUAAAGCAAACCGAAGUAGUGUUCAUACCUGACUGGAGCCUUAGAAUUCUCCGACUUUGGCUUGAAUGUGACAAUUGCUUGAAGUAGCAUGAAACUUGGAUGAAGAUGCUAAAAUGGCAAUGGAGUUUGAAGAUGGAAAAUGAAGCAAGUGACGGUGAUUGUAGAAAUGAAGAGUUGGACAUGUUUGUGCUUUGUUUUAGGUUUUAGGAACUUGAAUGCAGUUUGCUUGUAAUGGCUUAUACUUGGCACCAUAUGACCUUCUACUAUUUUUUUAGUUCAAGAGAUUUGUACCAUUCGUGAACCAAGUGCAACAUGAUGUUGUAACUCAAAUGCAAAUGAAAUUCCAAUUUGUUUCCAAUCAA
Lathyrus oleraceus (garden pea) is the source of this 581-nucleotide long non-coding RNA. RefSeq lists it as uncharacterized. NCBI's taxonomy places the organism in Eukaryota, Viridiplantae, Streptophyta, Magnoliopsida, Fabales, Fabaceae. The transcript has 2 exons. The record is from RefSeq and is a predicted model, not a curated record.